GUCCCGCACAGAGCUAACGCCUUUAAUGAGCGCCGGAGAUAAGCGCCGGACGGGACUUUCAUC
Molecule: small RNA, 63 nt
Filed under: Pantoea vagans
Lineage: Bacteria; Pseudomonadati; Pseudomonadota; Gammaproteobacteria; Enterobacterales; Erwiniaceae
Description: rydB RNA
Rfam family: rydB RNA
About the family: This family consists of several bacterial sequences from E. coli, Shigella flexneri and Salmonella species. This RNA gene was discovered by an RNA screen between the ydiC and ydiH in E. coli.
Source: Rfam by way of RNAcentral